Non-coding RNA from Nicotiana tabacum (common tobacco), 1650 nucleotides. Lineage: Eukaryota; Viridiplantae; Streptophyta; Magnoliopsida; Solanales; Solanaceae. The record is from RefSeq and is a predicted model, not a curated record.
UAGUAGUUGAAUUAAAAUCAACAUAUGAAAACAUAAAUGUUUUUUUCUAGAAAAGAUAGCACCUCCAAACUGGUAAGUCAAUCCUUCUAAUUUCAAAUUCAAAAAGAUGUGGUUUUGCAAAGUUACUUAGUGAGGGAUGUCCAUACUUCUUACUUAUGCGAAAGCUAGGGAGUCUCAGAAAGAACAUUACUGCUAGCAAUAGAAAGAGGUAUUUGGCAAGGUUGAUGCAAAAAUAAGCAAAGCACUGGAUGAACUGUUAGUAGUAGAGCAGACGUCUAUCUUACACAAGCUGAAAAAGAUAAAAGACUGAAUCUGAAAUUGAACUGCCAAGGAAAUUAGUAUUAAAAAUAGAGCUGCCUACAAAAGUAGAUUGUUUCAUCUGCACUUUUUUUUGAAGCUUGUUUGACUCAGAACAUUUGCAAAAGGAAUAUGCAACCAAUAAACAGAUACUACAACAUCUCUAUGCUUGGUCUUUCUCUUGUUCAAUGAAAUACUUGCUUACAAUAUGUAUGAAGGAUAAAUUUGAGAGUGUUGACAUGAUUGAUCAUCAUGAUCAUAUAUUGGGAUAGAUGAAAGAGUUAUGGAACAAAUGGAGAGGACACUUACAUGUCAAAUAUGUGAAGGAUAAGCUAAUCUAUCAGGCUCUUAAGAAUCUUCUAAAGGGAGUAGACAAGAAAGAAUGAGAGUGGUUAGUAAAGGAACAUUUUUCUUCAGAAAAUUUUCAGGCGAGAAGCAUCAAGAAUGCAGCAAACCGAUCUAAGUUGAAAGUGCUUCAUCAUAUUGGUAGCAAACCUAUUCGAGAGAUAAUUUAUUAAAAGGGCGGAAAAAACUGCAAUCCAUCAGAUUUGGCAAUAAUUAUCUUUGAGACUCGUAAGAAAAAUAACAAGCUUGUUGAACCUAAAGCAAUUGAAAAAUAUGUAUGUUCGGAAAAUUAAAUAUGUAAAUUAAUUACAAUGAUAUGGAUUCUGGUAUAAAAUAUUUCUUCGUAUGUUUUGUAAGCUCAGAUUGAAGAAAUAGUUCAAUAGGAUCCAUCUCUACCUAGCAUAGAGAUAGUAGAAAAAUAUUAUGGACCUCAAACUCGUAGCCAUGUAUUGGCUUUGGGGGUGGAGUAACGGCGAAAGACAUGAAAGGUGGCACUUCUUCAAAGGUUGAAUUACUGUCCGCUCUGCGUUCUACUAGAGAGGAAAAUAAAUCUUUGAGUGAGGAAAACAAAUCCUUACAUGAUCACUUGUCUACCAUAGAAGAUGAGAUGAAAGAAAUGAAGAAAAUAAAGGAAUUCUUUGCUGCUCAACAAUCACAUGUCUCGCCUACGACAUCGCUCGUUUCAACUGAAUGAUCACUUUAUUUGUCUACUGAUCAACCUUGUUCAUGUUGCUGGAUAACACCUGAUGAAUUUAGACUGCUUUUGGGGUUUUGAAGAUUGAAGCUACAAGUCAAGAUACAAGUUUAGAAGAAACACAAGCUCAUUAUUAUUUUUCUAGGAAUAUUAUGUAAAACAUGAUAUCAUAGUCUAGCUUAGGAUGUUAGCUAUGUUUUUUUGCUAAGGUGUUGAGCAAAUAUUGAAACUAAAAUCAUGGGAUGUCACCAUUGUAAUUAAUAACUUUUUAUAUAGCAAUUUGAUAUUUAUUGAUAAAAAUUAAUGUUUUGUGA